This 767-nucleotide ribosomal RNA is filed under the name Bacillus thuringiensis. RNAcentral's name for it is "bacterial SSU rRNA". It matches the Rfam family "Bacterial small subunit ribosomal RNA", at positions 57 to 803 of the family's 1533-position model. Lineage: Bacteria; Bacillati; Bacillota; Bacilli; Caryophanales; Bacillaceae. The record is from RNAcentral.
GCAGUCGAGCGAAUGGAUUGAGAGCUUGCUCUCAAGAAGUUAGCGGCGGACGGGUGAGUAACACGUGGGUAACCUGCCCAUAAGACUGGGAUAACUCCGGGAAACCGGGGCUAAUACCGGAUAACAUUUUGAACUGCAUGGUUCGAAAUUGAAAGGCGGCUUCGGCUGUCACUUAUGGAUGGACCCGCGUCGCAUUAGCUAGUUGGUGAGGUAACGGCUCACCAAGGCAACGAUGCGUAGCCGACCUGAGAGGGUGAUCGGCCACACUGGGACUGAGACACGGCCCAAACUCAUACGGGAGGCAGCAGUAGGGAAUCUUCCGCAAUGGACGAAAGUCUGACGGAGCAACGCCGCGUGAGUGAUGAAGGCUUUCGGGUCGUAAAACUCUGUUGUUAGGGAAGAACAAGUGCUAGUUGAAUAAGCUGGCACCUUGACGGUACCUAACCAGAAAGCCACGGCUAACUACGUGCCAGCAGCCGCGGUAAUACGUAGGUGGCAAGCGUUAUCCGGAAUUAUUGGGCGUAAAGCGCGCGCAGGUGGUUUCUUAAGUCUGAUGUGAAAGCCCACGGCUCAACCGUGGAGGGGUCAUUGGAAACUGGGAGACUUGAGUGCAGAAGAGGAAAGUGGAAUUCCAUGUGUAGCGGUGAAAUGCGUAGAGAUAUGGAGGAACACCAGUGGCGAAGGCGACUUUCUGGUCUGUAACUGACACUGAGGCGCGAAAGCGUGGGGAGCAAACAGGAAUUAGAUACCCUGGUAGUCCACGCCGU